AUGGACCCCUUUCCCAUACACAAAAUCAUCUGCCUUGUUUGUUGGUCAUUUUGGUUAUUCCCAUUCUGUGCAUCAUCCGGCAGCCGCCUUCUUCCCGACAAGCCGCUUUCUGCUGGAAGCACCAUCACCUCCGACGACGGCACUUUCGCCCUGGGAUUCUUCUCCCCGUCCAGCUCCGGCAGAAAACAUUACUACGUCGGAAUAUGGUACAAGAACAUACCCAAAGACAAUGUUGUGUGGGUUGCCAAUCGUGCUAUGCCGAUUGCUGAUCCUUCUUCUGUAACACUGGCCUUCACAAACGGAUCCAAUCUGGCCCUGUCAGACACCAAUGGCCAGCUUCUCUGGAUGACAGAUAUCAGCGCCGCAGGGAAUUCAUCGUCAGAGGCAACUGGUGGAGAAGCCACACUUGAUAACAAUGGGAAUUUUAUCCUUCGGUCAUCACAGGGCAUCAUCUUAUGGCAAAGCUUCGAUUAUCCGACCGACACUCUCCUUCCAGGUAUGAACCUCAGGAUCACCCACAAGACGCAUGGACUACAACGGCUCGUCUCUUGGAGAAACACCCAGGACCCAUCCCCGGGCAACUUCUCAUAUGGUGCACACCCUGAUGAGUUUCUGCGGCGUUUUUCAUGGAAUGGUUCGACACCAUACUGGCGAAGUCCAGCGUGGAAUAACUAUUUGUUAGUAGGGCGGUACGUCGAGAGUGUCAAGUCCACAAUUCACUUCACACUGAAUACUAUUGAUGAUGAGGUGUACAUUUCCUUUGGACUACCAGAACCAAGUGUCUCCUUAGUGCUACUGAAGAUGGACUACUCAGGAAAGAUGAAGUUACGAACCUGGAAUAGCAACAUGUCCAAAUGGGCUGACCUGCGAUCAGAACCUAAACAGGAAUGCAACAAAUUUGGUUACUGUGGUCCAUUUGGUUACUGCGACAACACGCAGCCUAUUGUGACAUGCAAGUGUAUUGAUGGCUUUGAGCCAAACAACAAGCAAGACUGGACGGGGCACAGGUUUUCGCAGGGAUGCCACCGGAUGGAAGCACUAAGAUGUGGUCAACGGGAUAGCUUCUUAAAUUUGCCAAGCAUGAAGGUUCCCCACGAGUCCUUGCAUGUCAAGAAUAUAAGCUUAGAUGAAUGCAUAGCAGAAUGCACCAGCAACUGCUCCUGCACGGCGUAUGCUUUCGCCAAUACGAGCACCAAGGAUAUCAAUGGGGAUGAAACUAGGUGCCUAUUAUGGAACGGAGAUUUGAUUGACACAGAGAAGCUCAUUGGACAAGGGCAAAACCUCUAUAUCCGGGUUAAUGGAUUGAGUGAUAAAAAGCGGAAGAGCACUGUUUUAAAAAUUACACUGCCAGUCGUGUCAAGCUUGCUCAUAAUCAUAUGGGUGUGCCUUGUUUGGAUCUGCUGCUUGGGAGGCAAACAAAGAAACAAGAAAAUUUGGAAGAAGCUGAUGUCAGGAACUUCGAGCACUUCAGUUGAACUUUGCGACGGAAACUUAAAGUAUCCUUCUAUUAGGUUCAAAGAAAUUGUACUUGCAACAAACAAUUUCUCUAACUCCAACAAGCUUGGACAUGGAGGUUUUGGCAAUGUUUACAAGGGAACGUUAGAAGAUGGUACAGAAAUUGCUGUGAAAAGGCUUAGGAAGGGUUCUGGCCAGGGAGUACUGGAGUUCAGAAAUGAAGUACUACUCAUUGCGAAGUUGCAGCAUAAAAACUUGGUUAGACUUCUCAGCUUCUGCAUCCAUGGAGAUGAGAAACUAUUAAUAUAUGAAUACUUACCUAACAAAAGUCUGGAUGCCAUGCUUUUCGAUGCCACAAGAAAAUCAAUGCUUAAUUGGCCAAUAAGAUUCGAGAUAAUCAAAGGGGUAGCUAGAGGACUUCUUUAUCUUCAUCAGGAUUCAAGGUUGAAGAUAAUUCACAGGGAUCUCAAAGCAAGCAACAUAUUAUUAGAUGCCGAAAUAAGCCCUAAGAUAUCUGAUUUUGGUAUAGCAAGGAUAUUUGGUGUCGAUCAGCAGCAAGAAAAUACCAACCGCGUUGUUGGCACAUACGGUUACAUGUCGCCUGAAUAUGCUUUGAACGGAGUGUUCUCUGUCAAGUCUGAUGUAUACAGCUUUGGAGUUUUACUACUAGAGAUUGUGAGUGGCUCAAAGACCAGCUCUGUGCACCUAAAAGCAGACUUCCCCAGCAUUAUAGCCUCUGCAUGGAGCUUAUGGAAGGAUGGGAACACAAAGGAUUUUGUUGACUCGUCAAUUGUGGGGAGUUGUUCACCUGAUGAAACUAUACGGUGCAUCCAUAUUGGACUUUUGUGUGUUCAAGACAGCCCAAAUGCGCGGCCACUCGUGUCAUCAAUUGUGUCCUUUCUGGAGAAUGGAGAUAUAUCACUUCCACCUCCAAAAGAGUCUGUGUAUUUUGCUGAAAACAACAAUGGAAAUGAUGGAGCAGCAGAAAAUACUGUAAAUUCUGCAAAUAACAUGAGCAUUACAGUAGUAGAGGGACGCUAG
RNAcentral lists this ribosomal RNA (2496 nucleotides) under Triticum aestivum (bread wheat). RNAcentral's name for it is "partial small subunit ribosomal RNA". Lineage: Eukaryota; Viridiplantae; Streptophyta; Magnoliopsida; Poales; Poaceae. The record is from RNAcentral.